CUGUGAUUUGAUCCGUCACUCCACCUCCCUCCACGGUUCGUAUCCUAGGAUUGUUUCAGUUUCAGCUCCAUAAUGGGGCCCGGAGGCCCAUAACCCAUGCAGUAUUUAUCUUCGUCAAUACUUCCACCUUCUAGCUCACAAAAAAGUACUUCCACCUAUUUCUUUCGUUGUCCACUAAAUCUGCCACCGCAGGCGUCGCCUAGGUGCAAAACAGAUCAGCUGGUCUUCUACGGCAGCGGCCGACACAUGCAGGCCUUGCCGGCAUCCAUCACAAGCUCCCAGCAACUAGGUCCAACAUCUUCGCGUCAAGCGUCGUACAUGCUCUUCCCAUGUGAAUCUAGCCUCCGACGGGAAAAGAUAAUCAAGUACCCAUGAAGAUUACGCCAAUAUGCCCUGGAUUUUGUGUCCCACUUUUAAAACUGACAGACUACUAUAGUAUACGGACAAUGGUUCUUUCUUAGCAUGAUUGUUUCAAAGAUGAAUCAGCCAAUUACUUUGCAGCUAUGUUUUUGAAAAAUAAGAGUAUAACAGUGUUCACGAAAUCAAGUGGAAGUAGUUUCUGGAUAUCUUAUGGAAGGUAGAUAUCAACAUAUUCUAGCUGUUACACAGCUACCUAAAUGUUCAACGGCAUAUGAUUUCCUUUAAUGAUGAUAAGGACUGGCAUUGCUUCCAUAGCUGAAGCGUAGGUUUCAGCUAUAGUAGGAACAGUUGGAGUAGCUACGACCAGGCAUGCAUGGGAUAUUGCUCGGUUUAUGAAGAUCGAUCCUGCACUUGGUUUUAUGCCCAGUAAA
Lolium rigidum is the source of this 791-nucleotide long non-coding RNA. RefSeq lists it as uncharacterized. The record is from RefSeq and is a predicted model, not a curated record. The transcript has 4 exons. Lineage: Eukaryota; Viridiplantae; Streptophyta; Magnoliopsida; Poales; Poaceae.